UGUGCGGGUUAUCAAAACUUGUCACAGGGUUUUUAUUCCCUGUGUGCGUCCCUCCCUGCGCCUAAAUUUGGCAACAGAUCCACACUCGGUGUGUCUCUGAAUUUAUUAUUUUAUAUUUAUUUCUUAAUUUAUUCAUUAAAUUUAUUACUAUUAGUA
Cotesia glomerata is the source of this 156-nucleotide long non-coding RNA. RefSeq lists it as uncharacterized. NCBI's taxonomy places the organism in Eukaryota, Metazoa, Arthropoda, Insecta, Hymenoptera, Braconidae. The transcript has 3 exons. The record is from RefSeq and is a predicted model, not a curated record.